AAAGAUGUUUAGUUUAUUAUUAUAUAAUGAUAAUAAUAAUAACAUAGGAAAAUAAUACUCUAUAGAAAACAGAAGAGAUAAAGAUGACACAUGAAAUGAAGUGAACUCAAUCAUGAAAAAAAGAAAAAAAAAACAAGAUCCUCCGCUUAAACUCUUUUGCUGUUGUAUAUGGCCAAGAACAUGAAGACAGGUUGGUUUUGUCAGCCUUUUUUUAAUAAUUAAAAUUUUGUUUCUUCCAAGAGUUUUAAUUUAUCUAUUCGCAUCCCCAAAGGAGUUAUUUGUAUAUAAAAAAUUCUCAUUAUCGCUAUAUGAGUAUAUGACCCCUAAUUUUUUUUUCCUUUGCCCAAAAAGAAGAUAAUUUGGUUGUAAUUAAAUGGAGUAAUUUAGAGUGUUUUCGUUUGUAAUUUAAUUUAGAAAAGAACACAGAAGUUUGUUACUCUGCAGUUACUAAAAAGGAGGACAAUGAAUAAAUCGGUGGAAAUCGGGAAAUUGAUUUACGAGAACACAAAAAUAAAGAACAAAAGAGAUUCACCCCAAAAAAAAAAAGUAAAGAACAAAAUAGAAGCUUCACUAGACUAAAUUGAUUAUGAAGCAUUUAAUUUAUUCAUGAUAACUGUAGUUUUGUGGUCGUGUAAUAUUGUAUACCAAAAUGUUUCAUUCUCUCAAGGAAUAAACAAAAAGAUCACUGGAUGGUGACCCCCAAAAAAAAAACAAAAAGAUAAUUGGACUAGUUAAGCAGAUAACAAACACACACAAAAAAACAGCAGAUGUAAUUAAGGGUAAAUUGAAGAAACUUUGAAUAGUCUACGAAGAAUUUUCUUUUUAGCAUCGUGUUUAAAGAACUUUAACUCAACGCUCUUCUUUUUAUAAUUUCUGGUUGAAAGAAUUAAUAGAAAAAGACUUACAAAGACUUUCGUUUGUCCAUGAAGGUAACAGGCCGAGAAGAAUAUCCACAAGCAAUAAAGGUUAGGGUUUCUCCGAUCACCGGCCAUCCUAAGCUUCCCUUCGGAAUCAUUCCCUUCUUCUUCUCGUUCUCUUCUUGUUCGUCUCCGUCUCUUGUUUUCGAGUUUGUUAGACGAAACCAGAGCCAUGAACGAAGAAGAAUACCGGCCGUCAAAACCAAGAAACCGGCGACCCAAUAAUCCAUGAAACAAGCCGGCGAAGAAAGAUUUUCCGGCGACCGGAAAAGUCUUAAUUUUUCCGGAGAAUACAUAAAGACACACCAAAAGAAGUUAACCUGAUUUUCUGGCAGUUAUAAAUAACAUGCCAAAGCACAUGAAGCUAUUACACAUGUAUUGUGAGGAGAUAGUAGAGAAUUAGGUUUCUCAAAUCUCAAAAGCCAUGCAUGAAGAGAAUAAAUAUUUGUAGAGCUAAAGCUAUGGUGAUGUCAUUUUCAAUGGGGGCGAAACAGAGGAAUGAAUGAUAUAAAAUCCACUUUUCCCGUCUCUCACUAUAUACAUAUAUAUCUAUCCCUAU
Molecule: long non-coding RNA, 1476 nt
Filed under: Eutrema salsugineum
Lineage: Eukaryota; Viridiplantae; Streptophyta; Magnoliopsida; Brassicales; Brassicaceae
Description: long non-coding RNA (ESAL_LNC001468)
Source: RNAcentral